ACUGACCAAAACGACCCUCCUCCAACUUAAAUGCUAAUGCCACAAGCCGUCCAUCUGGAGUACCACUCAAUGUAAUCUUCUCUUCAUUUUUUGUUUGGUCCAAAGCAUAAUUGCUAACUUCAAUUGGACAAGGUAAGUAACUAAGCACUCCAUUUAGAAGUGGUUGAACUCCCUUGUUUUUAAAUGCACUACCCAUGAAUACAGGUAUAAACUUCCGUGCAA
Molecule: unclassified non-coding RNA, 222 nt
Filed under: Hevea brasiliensis (rubber tree)
Lineage: Eukaryota; Viridiplantae; Streptophyta; Magnoliopsida; Malpighiales; Euphorbiaceae
Source: RNAcentral